UCGUGGAGCUCCGGCUCCUUCGAGGGAGAACCCUUGCCUUUUGAGCACCUGUUUGGUUCCUCGGCAGGCCCGCCUGCCAAUGGGGACCCCUUCAAACUCUUGCAAUAACCUGUAUGAAAUCGUCUGAACAAAACAAACAAAUCA
This 144-nucleotide unclassified non-coding RNA is filed under the name soil metagenome. RNAcentral's name for it is "partial internal transcribed spacer 1". The record is from RNAcentral.